CCUUUGGUCCGCCACAGCUUCUGUCCCACCAACUGUAACAACUUCACAUUCAACAGCAACAUCCACAGUUACAGUAUUGCCUUCAUUAUACAUAUCUUCACAAGCAAAGAUUUGCUCCCAUUGUUGCUCGAGUGUCAUCUCAUAAUAGGUUGAAUGUUUCAUUUGAUCUUUAAGAGCUGUCCCUUCCUUGAUAAACAUGAAAGGGCAAUACCACUUCCCCGCUACUACAGGCGGGGAACAUUUUUGUGACACUGGGAAGUUGAAGUCCGGGAGGCGGGCGCGGAGAGCUGUGUUAAGGCCUGGUGCUUCAUUUAGCUGGAACUCCUUUGAAGUUGAGGUAUACACUCGCCAGCCCUUUCUCCUCAGGAAAUCUGGAGGAAACCCAUCUGAAGCUACGGAUUUAGCAGCAAAAUCUCCCCGUUUACGGUGUUGAAUCUCAAAUUGCUGAUAAAUGUUUCUUGGGUCCAAAGGUUGCGGUUUUAAAUCAGAUAUACGGGUGCAGAAACAGCAUGUUUUCAUAUCCUCUUCCUUGGAGUUUAUGUAAGCUUCCCUGAAAGCCAAUAUGAGUGUGGAUUUAUUAAGAAUUGGCUAAUUAAAACGAGCGAGAAAAAAAAAAGGAAAUGUUUGCGCCCAUUUUCUUAAUCCAGAAACGCAGCGGUGAUUCAUAUGUUAGGUUCCCAGCUGACGCAAUCUUUCCAUGUUGUUUGAGAUCUUGAAUUGAUUUCAAAGAUAUAGAGGAUAUGGGAAAAAAAAAAAGCAAAAGAAAAACAAAACAAGGUGAAGUUGGAGGUAGAGCACACACAUACCCUUUAUGCUUCCCUUUUCUCUCAACCACGUAGUAUUGAUUGGAAGAUAAUGGCUGAUUGAGAACAGGAGUGAAAAGAACACGGUUCGUAUGAACGUGUUGAUUCUCCCCAGUUUGCUGCGUAUACGUAACCAUCAAGUUCUUGUUUUGAGGAAAAGGCAGGCCCCAGCUUACUCGAUCACUCUUGAACAAUCCACAACAGAAGGUAGGCACUGCAACUUCUUCAUCCUGGAUUACCAAUACACCAGAAUUUGGACCCUCGGGAGGCGGUGAUGAAAGAGCUGAAGGAUCUCUUAGAUACAUCGAAAGAGGCCUUGUCACAUACAUUUCCUCUCAAACUUUUCUCUGCGUAUAGUGACCAAGCAAAAAUUCUUUAUCUUAUCCUUAAUUUCAAAUGUUGUUUUAGGAGUCAAAUCAUAAUUUGUCAAACUAUGGAGAAUUAAAAUGUAAUUUUUAUAUAUCAGGACCAAACUGAAAUUUUAUAAUUUUCAACCGUGAAACUACUUUAUCUAGAAUUUCUAGCAAAGAUUGUUCCAAAUUUCUUAGCCAUUCUUGCCCAUGACACAUCAAAGAAACAAAUCAACCUCAUGUUAUUAUCCCUAACAAAAUCAUUCAAAAUCAAUUAAUUUCAACAUUAACCCAUAUUAAUCAUCAAUUAUUGAAACUUAAAAACAUAAAUUUCAAAUAUUUAGAAACAUUAACACGUUAAAAAAAAAAAUGUAAUGAGCAACAAAAACAAAAAUCAUGUAUAUCAAAUUACGAUCUCAACACAAAAACGUAAUUUAUCCAUCACUCAUGAUCCUUUUUUUCUUUUCCUUCCUCCUCUUUUUCUUUUGGUUUUCUCCGUUUCUGGUUUCUUCUUCUUUUUUCUUUUUUUAUCUCUCUCUAUAUAUCAAUCUAUGUGAAACGACUGACGUGUCCCCAACCAUUACCAACCACAUAAGGUUGUUCAAAUCGCGAUUUUAACACGGCACGGAAAAUACAAAACAAACUCGGAUCGUAAAAACAGAUCGUAAAAUCGUAAGGAAUUUUAAAAUAUAUUAACAAAAAAUUCAUGAUUCAAAUAAAAAUUCAUACAUAUACUAUACAAUUAAUUUUUUCGUAAAAUCAUUCUAUCAUUCCAUUAAUAAAAUCAAUUUCAUCAUUCCAUCAUAUACUAAAAUAGCAUCUUAAAACCAUUCCAUCAUUCCACAAUGCCAUACAGACACAACUAAUUCAAUCCAAUCCAAUCCAAUAGUCCACAGUAUACUGUUCCAUCAAUUCCAUUUAAUUCAUUCCAUCAAUUCAAGGGACAGAAAAACAUUAUAAAUGGACAAAUUACAGGACCGGCAAAAUCAUUCCAUCAAAAAUGUAUAAACGCCUGAAGCAGAAAAAUUAUUUGAUUAACAAUUGUAGCUAUGAAUUCCAGCAAGGUUCAUACAACAUCUACUCUCCAUUAUGCUAAACUUCUCAAGAAAAGAAAAUUAUGACUAUAUAUGAAGGGUUAGCACUACAACUCAAAGAAUCUUGUAGAUAAAAGAAGAUGGAAAGCCUAAAGAAUGAACGAGCAGUACAAAUAAAAAAGUAUAUUAGUACUUGAUAUCAGGAUUUUAGACUAAUAAUUUGUCAUGAUCUACAUAAGUUUGCAGUAACAGUUUCUUCUAGGGAGAAGAAUCUGAUAGCCUGUCACAAAGACAUUUGCAAUGUAUCAUCAAGCAUUCCCCAGUUCUUUUGUCGUCACAGAUUCUUCACAACUUGUCACUGCAUCACUUUUCAUCAAACCGACAGUCCACGUAUCAAAAUUUUGAAUACAUCCUAGGAAACAAAAUUCAUCCCAGAGUUAAGGUCAAUACAAUAGCUAGGCAAAAUGGAACACGUUACAAUCUAACUUUGAUUUUGAUCCAAAUUUUCAUGGAAGUGAACAAAGUGGAAAAUUAAAGAUAAAUGGUUGUACCUUGAUUGCAUUAGUGCUCUCUAGUUCAGUGAUUUUACCAUCUUCUUCAUGAUUUUCAUGUAGUGGCUCUUCGUUUGCAGGCAUUAUAAUUUAUUUUUAUUUUUUUGAUUUACGUGGGUAUCCGGGCCAGCUUGCGCGCACCACGACUAAUUUCACGGCUCGCUGAACAUCCUGCAAACCCAGUGAGCAUGUAAGGCACUGCGGGAGUGACAGGCGUACACGCUGAGGCUUGAACCCAGGAUGCAGAGGUAAGGAAACUCCUUGCCACCGCUGGGCUACAAGCCUCGGUGUCAGGCAUUAUAAUUUCAUUCCACCACUGGUUGAUCUUCGUCAUGUUGUUCCUCAUUUUCUUCAGCCACUAUUAUUAAACACCAAUUCCAAAAUUUUCAUUAUAAUUAGACCCAAUUAUCUUAAAGAACAAUUAAAAUUACACUACAAGAUUUAACAGUUUUACCGAUGAAAUUUUUCCGUCGGCGUAAUUAAGACACAUAUUCCAUCGGUAAUUAAUUUACCGACGAAAUCACCGACGAAAAUUCUCCGUCGGUGAAUUUUUGUCCGUCGGUAAAUCCGUUGGUAAUAAAAAAAAUAUUAUUACCGAUGGAUUUACUGGCGGAAUAGACGCGUCAGUAAAAAUAUUUUUUUAUUACCGACGGAAAGUUCCGUCGGUAAUUAUUUAAAAACAUUUUAAAAAAAAUUCAUUUUAUAAAAUUAUAAAAUAAUUAAAUUAACAUAAAUCAACAUUGCAUAAUAUAUACUCAAAAUGCUUGGGAAAAAAAAAGAAUAAGAAAAUCAACUCAAACAAAUUUGCAACAAAUAAAUAAAACAAAAGAAUUAAUUCAACUAAAAAAAAUCAUAUGAAAAAAAUGAAGUUCCAAUUGCUAAAAAUUUAAAAAUCCUAUAAAUAAAUCAACUAAAAAUUGAUCUCAUAUGAAAAAAAAAUCUCACAACAACAUUUAUACAAUUAUUAAGAACAAAAUCAAUUAAAAUAAAAAAAAACAAAUAUAGUGAAAAAAUCAUGAAAAAUAAGAAAAAAGAAAAAUCUUACCUUAAUGUACUUGCAAGUGAAGCUAAGGAAUUGUAAAGCAUAUUAAUUAAAAAAAAACUAAGAGGAUAAAAGAAGAAAGAAGAAGAAGACAUACCCGAGCAUGGAGGAAAAGAGAAGGAGAUGAGGAGAGAAAGAAGAAAAAGAAAUAGAUAUUGAUGUUUUUUACAUAUAGUGAAGAAGAAGAAGUAGAAGAAGAAGAAGAAGAAAUAAUGAGUCUGUCUCUUGUGAAAUAAGCGGAUUCAGGUUUUUUAUUGGGGCGCGUUACCGACGGAUUUACCGAGAAUAAUUGAAUAUUAAUAUUUUUUAAUUAUUCCAUUUAAUUUCGUAAAAAGUUUUCAGAAACCGCCAAAAAUUACCGACGAUUUUUCAAUCCGUCGGUGAUUCCGUCUGUAAUAUUUAAAUGAAAAUUUUAAAUCAAUUGAAUUUUUUCAGAAAACCGCCAAAUAACACCGACGAUUUUCAAUCCGUCGGUGAUUUUGUCCGUAAAGAAAACAAUUAACAGUGCAAUUGGAAGUGAACAGUUCUGGAGCUCUCUGGAAAAUACCGACGGAAAUUCCGUCGUAAUUCCCUUUGUAAUUGACAUGAUGAACAAUGUUCACAGUUUACCAACGGAUUUACCAAAUUACCGACGGAAAAUUCGUCGGUAAUUCGUUGGUAAAAAAUGACACGUAUCAUUUUUUUUGCUUUGUUUUAAUUUUUUUUCCCACGGUAAUUCCCUCGGUAUUUCCAUUUGUAUUUAUUGAUUUUCUGGUAGUGUUAACCCAAGAAUCCAAAAAAGUAAAAAAAAAUUAAUAAUAAUAAUAAUAAAAAAAACCACAUAUCUGCUUCUCUAUAAGUAUUUUAGAAAACCAUUUUAAUACUUCGGUGUGAGCUUACAACCAUCAAGCCUUAGACUGUUGAAGCAGUAAAUGGAGGGACAAUGAUUUGUUCUUCUCCACGUAAGGAUUUCAGGUCGACGAUGCAGGGAGUAAAAACCAGAGGCGAAAAAGAAAAAACAAAGCUUGGGAAUAAAUUCUUACCUUAUUCUCGAUAGCAAGCAAAACAAGAGGCACUGAGAGAGUGGAGAGUGAAAAGUGGAGAUUGGGGAUAAUUAGAUUCAGAAUUUCAAAUCUUAAAUAUUUAGCAGACAAUUAGUAAAAAUGGAGAGUAAAGAGUACUGCGAACAGGGAAAGGGAGGGGGUGGGGAAGGGAAAGGGGAAACUGGGGAAGGGGAAAGGGCAACGGGAAAGGGUGGAGGCGCUGCAACUGUUUUAUAUUUCACGUGAAAUCGUGAAAUCGGUUCGUGUUUAAUGUUUUUUCCGAGUUAGACUGAUUUUAUACAAGUUUGACCGGGUUUGACCGAUUUUACUGGUUUUUCAAGUUUUAAAUCCGAUUUUGCACGUUUUAUAUGUUUUGACUCGUAAAAUGGUAUGAUUUUACGAGUUAAAACGUGAUUUUGAUAAUCUUGCAACCACAGCCAUGCACAUAAGGGCAAUACCGUCUGUUUAUCCAAACUUACAUAAGCAUGCAUGAUUAAUAAGAAACUGGUCCCUAGUUAACUUCCAUAAAUGAUGAAGCUUUUCAGACACGAAGAUUCGUGAGAUUUCAUAAACAUUUGAAGACAUGAUGGAGCUCGUUAAUUUCUGGAUAUCAAGUAGCUCAAAAAUUCUGUUCGGGGAGUUGAAACAAAACGGCAAUCUUCCAUGCAAGUCAGAAAAGGUAUAGCGGGUUAACAAAAAAACUGAUGCUUAUAGCUACAUGAACCAAUCAAAACUUUUAAGGAGCAUAAAAGACUGUUCAAUCAUUCUCAGAUUGGCCUCAUAUUCCGACAUCUAUCAUGCAUGUAUAAUGUAUCGAGAGAGACCGAAGAGUUAGUAUUGUCAAUUAAAACCUAUUAUGAGGUUUGAUGCAAGCUUUGUGUCUGUCAAGAGCUUACAUUCAGCAGAACUAGACAUGCUAUUUGUGAAAGAUUGAACCUGCAGAGUUAGCUGUUGGAUAGUUUCCUUUCACUUUGAUUUAUUAUUUUUUUUGUAAGGUCCUUUGGCCUUCAAUUUUUGGAUGUUGCAGAUAAUUUUGUUUUCACAUCAGUCCAAUCACUGAAAAUUGAUUCAUUCCUUGAAAUGAUAAUUCUCAAUUCUCUAUAAAGGAUCUAGUCAUUUCCUCUUCCUUCCUUCCCUUUUCCUUGCCGAAAUCAUGUUUUUGUUAUUAGGCAUGGGAUGUUUCUUAAAGCAUUAUUUAUCCCAUUGUCUCAAUCUUCUCGUGUAUAUAUAGAGAGAUAAGGAAGAUAUCAAUCUGAAAAGUCAAUAGCACAGACAAUUUAGACAAGUAAUAAGAAUCCUACAAGAGGAAAAGUAGAUCAAAAGGUUCUGCAAUGUUGAUACUUGGUCAAACCGGUUGAUUUGUUAUAUUUAGUUUUAAAAAUGUACAAUAUUUGUCGCCAACAGUGCAGCUUUGGAUUUUGGAAUAUUGAUUCUUCCAGCCAAAAAACUAGGUUAUCUUAUUAGCUUAAUCGUUAUCUUAUUAGUGGGGGCAGAGGAAGAAUAUUAUGAUCAUCCGUGCCCAAUCGUUAUCUUAUUAGCUUUGAAAUCCGUGUCAUUGUGCAAUUUUAAUCAAUUUAUUAGCUCAACCUAUAAUUUCAAAAUAGUUUAUUCACUGCAAUCGCUUGAAUUAUAAAAAAAAAAAAAAAAAAAAAAAAACAUCAAGGCAGACCAAAGGGUUUUUUUGGUGUGCAGUAAUGCAGUUUUGUAAUGUUUUUCAAAGACAUUUUUUAUAUCUUUUAAUUUUUAACCUUAACACAUCAAAUUAAUUAAAAAUAUUAAAUAAAUAUUUUUUAAAAUAAAAAUAAUUUAAAAAAACUACUACAACCACGGUAUCAUAGAUAGGCUAACACUACACAUCUUAUAACUGAAAUGGUACCACGUGUAACAUAUGAAUACAGCAAAAGAGAGGAAAAACAUAAAACAUUCUCAUUCUUCCCAGUACAUUAAAUCCCUCAACCAACACAUAGCAUCCAGAUUUCCUCUCUCUACCAAUCCCACUUGCUCACAAAUUGUUAAAAAUAAAACCAUCUGCUCCUUGUUUUUUUUAUUUAUAUAUAAUUCUAAUUGAUUAAAAAAAGUAAAAACGAGGCAUAUAUAUAUUUUAUAAUUCCCAUCCGCUUCUAAUGCGAUGAGGAUGCCUGAAAUCAUAGGUCAGCAAUAAGCUUCCAUCCAUUCUCUUCAAGGCAAACCUCUCAACCAAAACAUAGCAACCAAAUCUCCUCCACUUCCCCUUGCCAUCAAAAACCUCUUCUCUCUUCACCCUCACCUCCCUUUCAUCCCCGCUAGCACCCCCUACUCCUUGCACCCACUUCAUUCCCUCCACAAUCUCCAUUCUCAGUCCCACACUUGCUUCUGAUCCUGUCACUCUGUUGAAACUCCUGAACCACGUCACCCCAUCAACAACAUCCCUUUGGUCCGCCACAGCUUCUGUCCCACCAACUGUAACAACUUCACAUUCAACAGCAACAUCCACAGUUACAGUAUUGCCUUCAUUAUACAUAUCUUCACAAGCAAAGAUUUGCUCCCAUUGUUGCUCGAGUGUCAUCUCAUAAUAGGUUGAAUGUUUCAUUUGAUCUUUAAGAGCUGUCCCUUCCUUGAUAAACAUGAAAGGGCAAUACCACUUCCCCGCUACUACAGGCGGGGAACAUUUUUGUGACACUGGGAAGUUGAAGUCCGGGAGGCGGGCGCGGAGAGCUGUGUUAAGGCCUGGUGCUUCAUUUAGCUGGAACUCCUUUGAAGUUGAGGUAUACACUCGCCAGCCCUUUCUCCUCAGGAAAUCUGGAGGAAACCCAUCUGAAGCUACGGAUUUAGCAGCAAAAUCUCCCCGUUUACGGUGUUGAAUCUCAAAUUGCUGAUAAAUGUUUCUUGGGUCCAAAGGUUGCGGUUUUAAAUCAGAUAUACGGGUGCAGAAACAGCAUGUUUUCAUAUCCUCUUCCUUGGAGUUUAUGUAAGCUUCCCUGAAAGCCAAUAUGAGUGUGGAUUUAUUAAGAAUUGGCUAAUUAAAACGAGCGAGAAAAAAAAAAGGAAAUGUUUGCGCCCAUUUUCUUAAUCCAGAAACGCAGCGGUGAUUCAUAUGUUAGGUUCCCAGCUGACGCAAUCUUCCAUGUUGUUUGAGAUCUUGAAUUGAUUUCAAAGAUAUAGAGGAUAUGGGAAAAAAAAAAAGCAAAAGAAAAACAAAACAAGGUGAAGUUGGAGGUAGAGCACACACAUACCCUUUAUGCUUCCCUUUUCUCUCAACCACGUAGUAUUGAUUGGAAGAUAAUGGUGAUUGAGAACAGGAGUGAAAAGAACACGGUUCGUAUGAACGUGUUGAUUCUCCCCAGUUUGCUGCGUAUACGUAACCAUCAAGUUCUUGUUUUGAGGAAAAGGCAGGCCCCAGCUUACUCGAUCACUCUUGAACAAUCCACAACAGAAGGUAGGCACUGCAACUUCUUCAUCCUGGAUUACCAAUACACCAGAAUUUGGACCCUCGGAGGCGGUGAUGAAAGAGCUGAAGGAUCUCUUAGAUACAUCGAAGAGGCCUUGUCACAUACAUUUCCUCUCAAACUUUUCUCUGCGUAUAGUGACCAAGCAAAAAUUCUUUAUCUUAUCCUUAAUUUCAAAUUUGUUUUAGGAGUCAAAUCAUAAUUUGUCAAACUAUGGAGAAUUAAAAUGUAAUUUUAUAUAUCAGGACCAAACUGAAAUUUUAUAAUUUUCAACCGUGAAACUACUUUAUCUAGAAUUUCUAGCAAAGAUGUUCCAAAUUUCUUAGCCAUUCUUGCCCAUGACACAUCAAAGAAACAAAUCAACCUCAUGUUAUUAUCCCUAACAAAAUCAUUCAAAAUCAAUUAAUUCAACAUUAACCCAUAUUAAUCAUCAAUUAUUGAAACUUAAAACAUAAAUUUCAAAUAUUUAGAAACAUUAACACGUUAAAAAAAAAAUGUAAUGAGCAACAAAAACAAAAAUCAUGUAUAUCAAAUUACGAUCUCAACACAAAAACGUAAUUUAUCCAUCACCUCAUGAUCCUUUUUUCUUUUCCUUCCUCCUCUUUUUCUUUUGGUUUUCUCCGUUUCUGGUUUCUUCUUCUUUUUUCUUUUUUAUCUCUCUCUAUAUAUCAAUCUAUGUGAAACGACUGACGUGUCCCCAACCAUUACCAACCACAUAAGUUGUUCAAAUCGCGAUUUAACACGGCACGGAAAAUACAAAACAAACUCGGAUCGUAAAAACAGAUCGUAAAAUCGUAAGGAAUUUUAAAAUAUAUUAACAAAAAAUUCAUGAUUCAAAUAAAAAUUCAUACAUAUACUAUACAAUUAAUUUUUUCGUAAAAUCAUUCUAUCAUUCCAUUAAUAAAAUCAAUUUCAUCAUUCCAUCAUAUACUAAAAUAGCAUCUUAAAACCAUUCCAUCAUUCCACAAUGCCAUACAGACACAACUAAUUCAAUCCAAUCCAAUCCAAUAGUCCACAGUAUACUGUUCCAUCAAUUCCAUUUAAUUCAUUCCAUCAAUUCAAGGGACAGAAAAACAUUAUAAAUGGACAAAUUACAGGACCGGCAAAAUCAUUCCAUCAAAAAUGUAUAAACGCCUGAAGCAGAAAAAUUAUUUGAUUAACAAUUGUAGCUAUGAAUUCCAGCAAGGUUCAUACAACAUCUACUCUCCAUUAUGCUAAACUUCUCAAGAAAAGAAAAUUAUGACUAUAUAUGAAGGGUUAGCACUACAACUCAAAGAAUCUUGUAGAUAAAAGAAGAUGGAAAGCCUAAAGAAUGAACGAGCAGUACAAAUAAAAAAGUAUAUUAGUACUUGAUAUCAGGAUUUUAGACUAAUAAUUUGUCAUGAUCUACAUAAGUUUGCAGUAACAGUUUCUUCUAGGGAGAAGAAUCUGAUAGCCUGUCACAAAGACAUUUGCAAUGUAUCAUCAAGCAUUCCCCAGUUCUUUUGUCGUCACAGAUUCUUCACAACUUGUCACUGCAUCACUUUUCAUCAAACCGACAGUCCACGUAUCAAAAUUUUGAAUACAUCCUAGGAAACAAAAUUCAUCCCAGAGUUAAGGUCAAUACAAUAGCUAGGCAAAAUGGAACACGUUACAAUCUAACUUUGAUUUUGAUCCAAAUUUUCAUGGAAGUGAACAAAGUGGAAAAUUAAAGAUAAAUGGUUGUACCUUGAUUGCAUUAGUGCUCUCUAGUUCAGUGAUUUUACCAUCUUCUUCAUGAUUUUCAUGUAGUGGCUCUUCGUUUGCAGGCAUUAUAAUUUAUUUUUAUUUUUUUGAUUUACGUGGGUAUCCGGGCCAGCUUGCGCGCACCACGACUAAUUUCACGGCUCGCUGAACAUCCUGCAAACCCAGUGAGCAUGUAAGGCACUGCGGGAGUGACAGGCGUACACGCUGAGGCUUGAACCCAGGAUGCAGAGGUAAGGAAACUCCUUGCCACCGCUGGGCUACAAGCCUCGGUGUCAGGCAUUAUAAUUUCAUUCCACCACUGGUUGAUCUUCGUCAUGUUGUUCCUCAUUUUCUUCAGCCACUAUUAUUAAACACCAAUUCCAAAAUUUUCAUUAUAAUUAGACCCAAUUAUCUUAAAGAACAAUUAAAAUUACACUACAAGAUUUAACAGUUUUACCGAUGAAAUUUUUCCGUCGGCGUAAGACACAUAUUCCAUCGGUAAUUAAUUUACCGACGAAAUCACCGACGAAAUUCUCCGUCGGUGAAUUUUUGUCCGUCGGUAAUCCGUUGGUAAUAAAAAAAUAUAUUACCGAUGGAUUUACUGGCGGAAGACGCGUCGGUAAAAAUAUUUUUUUAUUACCGACGGAAAUUCCGUCGGUAAUUAUUUAAAAACAUUUUAAAAAAAUUCAUUUUAUAAAAUUAUAAAAUAUAAAUUAACAUAAAUCAACAUUGUAUAAUAUAUACUCAAAAUGCUUGGAAAAAAGAAUAAGAAAAUCAACUCAAACAAAUUUGCAACAAAUAAAUAAAACAAAAAUUAAUUCAACUAAAAAAAUUCAUAUGAAAAAAAUGAAGUUGCAAUUGCUAAAAAUUUAAAAAUCCUAUAAAUAAAUCAACUAAAAAUUGAUCUCAUAUGAAAAAAAAAUCUCACAACAACAUUUAUACAAUUAUUAAGAACAAAAUCAAUUAAAAAUAAAUAAAAAACAAAUAUAGUGAAAAAAUCAUGAAAAAAUAAGAAAAAAGAAAAAUCUUACCUUAAUGUACUUGCAAGUGAAGCUAAGGAAAAAAAUUUGUAAAGCAUAUUAAUUAAAAAAAACUAAGAGGAUAAAAGAAGAAAGAAGAAGAAGACAUACCCGAGCAUGGAGGAAAAGAGAAGGAGAUGAGGAGAGAAAAGAAGAAAAAAUAAUAUUGAUGUUUUUUACAUAUAGUGAAGAAGAAGAAGUAGAAGAAGAAGAAGAAGAAAUAAUGAGUCUGUCUCUUGUGAAAUAAGCGGAUUCAGGUUUUUUAUUGGGGCGCGUUACCGACGGAUUUACCGAAUAAUUGAAUAUUAAUAUUUUUUUAAUUAUUCCAUCUGUAAUUUCGUAAAAAGUUUUCAGAAACCGCCAAAAAUUACCGACGAUUUUUCAAUCCGUCGGUGAUUCCGUCUGUAAUAUUUAAAUGAAAAUUUUAAAUCAAUUGAAUUUUUUCAGAAAACCGCCAAAUAACACCCAGAUUUUCAAUCCGUCGGUGAUUUUGUCCGUAAAGAACAACAAUUAACAGUGCAAUUGGAAGGUGAACAGUUCUGGAGCUCUCUGGAAAAUACCGACGAAAAUUCCGUCGGUAAUUCCCUUUGUAAUUGACAUGAUGAACAUGUUCACAGUUUACCAACGGAUUUACCAAAUUACCGACGGAAAAUUUCGUCGGUAAUUCUGUUGGUAAAAAAUGACACGUUAUCAUUUUUUUUGCUUUGUUUUAAUUUUUUUUCCCACGGUAAUUCCCUCGGUAUUUCCAUUUGUAUUUAUUGAUUUUCUGGUAGUGUUAACCCAAGAAUCCAAAAAAGUAAAAAAAAAUUAAUAAUAAUAAUAAAUAAAAAAACCACAUAUCUGCUUCUCUAUAAGUAUUUUAGAAAACCAUUUUAAUACUUCGGUGUGAGCUUACAACCAUCAAGCCUUAGACUGUUGAAGCAGUAAAUGGAGGGACAAUGAUUUGUUCUUCUCCACGUAAGGAUUUCAGGUCGACGAUGCAGGGAGUAAAACCAGAGGCGAAAAAGAAAAAACAAAGCUUGGGAAUAAAUUCUUACCUUAUUCUCGAUAGCAAGCAAAACAAGAGGCACUGAGAGAGUGGAGAGUGAAAAGUGGAGAUUGGGGAUAAUUAGAUUCAGAAUUUCAAAUCUUAAAUAUUUAGCAGACAAUUAGUAAAAAUGGAGAGUAAAGAGUACUGCGAACAGGGAAAGGGAGGGGUGGGGAAGGGAAAGGGGAAACUGGGGAAGGGGAAAGGGCAACGGGAAAGGGUGGAGGCGCUGCAACUGUUUUAUAUUUCACGUGAAAUCGUGAAAUCGGUUCGUGUUUAAUGUUUUUUCCGAGUUAGACUGAUUUUAUACAAGUUUGACCGGGUUUGACCGAUUUUACUGGUUUUCAAGUUUUAAAUCCGAUUUUGCACGUUUUAUAUGUUUUGACUCGUAAAAUGGUAUGAUUUUACGAGUUAAAACGUGAUUUUGAUAAUCUUGCAACCACAGCCAUGCACAUAAGGGCAAUACCGUCUGUUUAUCCAAACUUACAUAAGCAUGCAUGAUUAAUAAGAAACUGGUCCCUAGUUAACUUCCAUAAAUGAUGAAGCUUUUCAGACACGAAGAUUCGUGAGAUUUUCAUAAACAUUUGAAGACAUGAUGGAGCUCGUUAAUUUCUGGAUAUCAAGUAGCUCAAAAAUUCUGUUCGGGGAGUUGAAACAAAACGGCAAUCUUCCAUGCAAGUCAGAAAAGGUAUAGCGGGUUAACAAAAAAACUGAUGCUUAUAGCUACAUGAACCAAUCAAAACUUUUAAGGAGCAUAAAAGACUGUUCAAUCAUUCUCAGAUUGGCCUCAUAUUCCGACAUCUAUCAUGCAUGUAUAAUGUAUCGAGAGAGACCGAAGAGUUAGUAUUGUCAAUUAAAACCUAUUAUGAGGUUUGAUGCAAGCUUUGUGUCUGUCAAGAGCUUACAUUCAGCAGAACUAGACAUGCUAUUUGUGAAAGAUUGAACCUGCAGAGUUAGCUGUUGGAUAGUUUCCUUUCACUGUUUGAUUUAUUAUUUUUUUGUAAGGUCCUUUGGCCUUCAAUUUUUGGAUGUUGCAGAUAAUUUUGUUUUCACAUCAGUCCAAUCACUGAAAAUUGAUUCAUUCCUUGAAAUGAUAAUUCUCAAUUCUCUAUAAAGGAUCUAGUCCAUUUCCUCUUCCUUCCUUCCCUUUUCCUUGCCGAAAUCAUGUUUUUGUUAUUAGGCAUGGGAUGUUUCUUAAAGCAUUAUUUAUCCCAUUGUCUCAAUCUUCUCGUGUAUAUAUAGAGAGAUAAGGAAGAUAUCAAUCUGAAAAGUCAAUAGCACAGACAAUUUAGACAAGUAAUAAGAAUCCUACAAGAGGAAAAGUAGAUCAAAAGGUUCUGCAAUGUUGAUACUUGGUCAAACCGGUUGAUUUGUUAUAUUUAGUUUUAAAAAUGUACAAUAUUUGUCGCCAACAGUGCAGCUUUGGAUUUUGGAAUAUUGAUUCUUCCAGCCAAAAAUACUAGGUUAUCUUAUUAGCUUAAUCGUUAUCUUAUUAGUGGGGGCAGAGGAAGAAUAUUUAUGAUCAUCCGUGCCCAAUCGUUAUCUUAUUAGCUUUGAAAUCCGUGUCAUUGUGCAAUUUUAAUCAAUUUAUUAGCUCAACCUAUAAUUUCAAAAUAGUUUAUUCACUGCAAUCGCUUGAAUUUAUAAAAAAAAAAAAAAAAAAAAAAACAUCAAGGCAGACCAAAGGGUUUUUUUGGUGUGCAGUAAUGCAGUUUGUAAUGUUUUUCAAAGACAUUUUUUAUAUCUUUUAAUUUUUAACCUUAACACAUCAAAUUAAUUAAAAAUAUUAAAUAAAUAUUUUUAAAAUAAAAAUAAUUUAAAAAACUACUACAACCACGGUAUCAUAGAUAGGCUAACACUACACAUCUUAUAACUGAAAUGGUACCACGUGUAACAUAUGAAUACAGCAAAAGAGAGGAAAAACAUAAAACAUUCUCAUUCUUCCCAGUACAUUAAAUCCCUCAACCAACACAUAGCAUCCAGAUUUCCUCUCUCUACCAAUCCCACUUGCUCACAAAUUGUUAAAAAUAAAACCAUCUGCUCCUUGUUUUUUUUAUUUAUAUAUAAUUCUAAUUGAUUAAAAAAAGUAAAAACGAGGCAUAUAUAAUUUUAAUAAUUCCCAUCCGCUUCUAAUGCGAUGAGGAUGCCUGAAAUCAUAGGUCAGCAAUAAGCUUCCAUCCAUUCUCUUCAAGGCAAACCUCUCAACCAAAAUAGCAACCAAAUCUCCUCCACUUCCCCUUGCCAUCAAAAACCUCUUCUCUCUUCACCCUCACCUCCCUUUCAUCCCCGCUAGCACCCCCUACUCCUUGCACCCACUUCAUUCCCUCCACAAUCUCCAUUCUCAGUCCCACACUUGCUUCUGAUCCUGUCACUCUGUUGAAACUCCUGAACCACGUCACCCCAUCAACAACAUCCCUUUGGUCCGCCACAGCUUCUGUCCCACCAACUGUAACAACUUCACAUUCAACAGCAACAUCCACAGUUACAGUAUUGCCUUCAUUAUACAUAUCUUCACAAGCAAAGAUUUGCUCCCAUUGUUGCUCGAGUGUCAUCUCAUAAUAGGUUGAAUGUUUCAUUUGAUCUUUAAGAGCUGUCCCUUCCUUGAUAAACAUGAAAGGGCAAUACCACUUCCCCGCUACUACUACAGGCGGGGAACAUUUUUGUGACACUGGGAAGUUGAAGUCCGGGAGGCGGGCGCGGAGAGCUGUGUUAAGGCCUGGUGCUUCAUUUAGCUGGAACUCCUUUGAAGUUGAGGUAUACACUCGCCAGCCCUUUCUCCUCAGGAAAUCUGGAGGAAACCCAUCUGAAGCUACGGAUUUAGCAGCAAAAUCUCCCCGUUUACGGUGUUGAAUCUCAAAUUGCUGAUAAAUGUUUCUUGGGUCCAAAGGUUGCGGUUUUAAAUCAGAUAUACGGGUGCAGAAACAGCAUGUUUUCAUAUCCUCUUCCUUGGAGUUUAUGUAAGCUUCCCUGAAAGCCAAUAUGAGUGUGGAUUUAUUAAGAAUUGGCUAAUUAAAACGAGCGAGAAAAAAAAAAGGAAAUGUUUGCGCCCAUUUUCUUAAUCCAGAAACGCAGCGGUGAUUCAUAUGUUAGGUUCCCAGCUGACGCAAUCUUUCCAUGUUGUUUGAGAUCUUGAAUUGAUUUCAAAGAUAUAGAGGAUAUGGGAAAAAAAAAAAGCAAAAGAAAAACAAAACAAGGUGAAGUUGGAGGUAGAGCACACAC
Molecule: long non-coding RNA, 15196 nt
Filed under: Populus tremula
Lineage: Eukaryota; Viridiplantae; Streptophyta; Magnoliopsida; Malpighiales; Salicaceae
Description: long non-coding RNA (PTRE_LNC002772)
Source: RNAcentral